UGAGAGUUUGAUCCUGGCUCAGAACGAACGCUGGCGGCGUGCCUGACACAUGCAAGUCGAACGGAGUCAUUUUGAAGUAGCAAUACGGAAGAAUGACUUAGUGGCGCACGGGUGAGUAACACGUAGGUAACCUGCCCUUAAGAGGGGGAAAACCCGCCGAAAGGCGAGCUAAUACCGCAUAAGACCACGAACUGAGAUGUUUGUGGUAAAAGGAGCAAUCCACUUAAGGAUGGGCCUGCGGCCUAUCAGGUAGUUGGUGAGGUAACGGCUCACCAAGCCUAAGACGGGUAGCCGGUCUGAGAGGACGGACGGCCACACUGGAACUGAGACACGGUCCAGACUCCUAUGGGAGGCAGCAGUGGGGAAUUUUGCACAAUGGGCGAAAGCCUGAUGCAGCGACGCCGCGUGGAGGAUGAAGGCCUUCGGGUUGUAAACUCCUUUUGUAGGGGAAAAUAAUGAUGGUACCCUGCGAAUAAGCCACGGCUAACUCUGUGCCAGCAGCCGCGGUAAGACAGAGGUGGCAAGCGUUGUUCGGAAUUACUGGGCUUAAAGGGCGCGUAGGCGGUAAGAUAAGUCUGUGGUGAAAUCCUAUGGCUUAACCAUAGAAUUGCCAUGGAAACUGUUUUACUUGAGUCAGCGAGGGGAUGGUGGAAUUCCUGGUGUAGCAGUGAAAUGCGUAGAUAUCCGGAGGAAGGCCGGUGGCGAAGGCGGCCAUCUGGCGCUGAACUGACGCUGAGGCGCGAAAGCGUGGGUAGCAAACAGGAUUAGAUACCCUGGUAGUCCACGCCCUAAACGGUGGGCAUUAGGUGUAGGGCUCGUAAGGGUUCUGUGCCGUAGGGAAACCAUUAAAUGCCCCGCCUGGGGAGUACGGCCGCAAGGUUGAAACUCAAAGGAAUUGACGGGGGCCCGCACAAGCGGUGGAGCAUGUGGUUUAAUUCGACGCAACGCGAAGAACCUUACCUGGGCUUGACAUG
This 974-nucleotide ribosomal RNA is filed under the name Nitrospirae bacterium RBG_16_43_8. RNAcentral describes it as "bacterial SSU rRNA". It matches the Rfam family "Bacterial small subunit ribosomal RNA", at positions 1 to 988 of the family's 1533-position model. The record is from RNAcentral. Lineage: Bacteria; Pseudomonadati; Nitrospirota.